This is a non-coding RNA of Camellia sinensis, 799 nucleotides long. NCBI's taxonomy places the organism in Eukaryota, Viridiplantae, Streptophyta, Magnoliopsida, Ericales, Theaceae. The record is from RefSeq and is a predicted model, not a curated record.
AGACGUUAGAUGAGAUCCUAUAACUUGCCACCAAUGACGAUGGUAAACACAAAGUGAUUCAACUUGGGUUGAGGGAAAUCAAGGAUCGAGUGAAAACUAUUGAAUCGGGUACUGCGAGUAAUGUGCCAUGUACUAGUACUGUACCACCUUCUACUAGUAUUGUACCACCUUCUCAUAGUUCACCGAAAAGUCCGCCACGUCUGAAUACUACAAAAGCAAGCAACACUCGGAAGGUAGUCAGUCCUUUGAUUGCUCCCCGAAGAGGGCGUCCAUGUACGAGGCGGAAGGUUAGCAAGGUUGAUCAAAUAGUUAAUCGGUUGAAGAGAAAGAACAAGAAGACUACUCCCGCACAGGUGCCGGAAGAUGAAGCUUACUAUUUUCCUUCUAUGGUUGGCACACAAGAUAGUAUGUAUGUUCCGGUGCCGCACGAUGAAGCUUACUAUUUUUCUUCUAUGGUGGGCACAGAAGACAACAUGUCUGUACCGGCACGGGUUUGCACAAUGGGAAUGCCGGACAAUAUUGGAAGCACAUCAGGAAUGGUCAACAAUCUAAGCGGUCAAAGUUCUACAGUACCAUCGCUAUUGGAUCCAAAUGCCCCAUUUUAUUUUUAAUGUAAUACACUUUUCAAUGUAUGUUCAAUGUAAUACACUGUUCAAUGUCUGUGUUCUACCAUUUUUGUCUGUGUUCAAUGUCUGUGUUCUACUAUUUUUGUCUCCUUUGAUAAACAAGUUCAAUGUCUUUGUAUGUUCCGGUUCUGUUCAAUGUAAUACACUGUUCAAUGUCUCCUUUGAUCAAUGUC